This 565-nucleotide ribosomal RNA is filed under the name Staphylococcus aureus. RNAcentral describes it as "partial 23S ribosomal RNA". It matches the Rfam family "Bacterial large subunit ribosomal RNA", at positions 1487 to 2049 of the family's 2925-position model. The record is from RNAcentral. Lineage: Bacteria; Bacillati; Bacillota; Bacilli; Caryophanales; Staphylococcaceae.
CGAAGCGUGCGAUUGGAUUGCACGUCUAAGCAGUAAGGCUGAGUAUUAGGCAAAUCCGGUACUCAUUAAGGCUGAGCUGUGAUGGGGAGAAGACAUUGUGUCUUCGAGUCGUUGAUUUCACACUGCCGAGAAAAGCCUCUAGAUAGAAAAUAGGUGCCCGUACCGCAAACCGACACAGGUAGUCAAGAUGAGAAUUCUAAGGUGAGCGAGCGAACUCUCGUUAAGGAACUCGGCAAAAUGACCCCGUAACUUCGGGAGAAGGGGUGCUCUUUAGGGUUAACGCCCAGAAGAGCCGCAGUGAAUAGGCCCAAGCGACUGUUUAUCAAAAACACAGGUCUCUGCUAAACCGUAAGGUGAUGUAUAGGGGCUGACGCCUGCCCGGUGCUGGAAGGUUAAGAGGAGUGGUUAGCUUCUGCGAAGCUACGAAUCGAAGCCCCAGUAAACGGCGGCCGUAACUAUAACGGUCCUAAGGUAGCGAAAUUCCUUGUCGGGUAAGUUCCGACCCGCACGAAAGGCGUAACGAUUUGGGCACUGUCUCAACGAGAGACUCGGUGAAAUCAUAGUA